AGUGCCGAAACCAUUUUUUCCGAAUAGGGGAGCCGGAGGGAAACCGAGUCUUAAUUGGGCGUUAAGUUGCAGGGUAUAGACCCGAAACCCGGUGAUCUAGCCAUGGGCAGGUUGAAGGUUGGGUAACACUAACUGGAGGACCGAAC
Molecule: ribosomal RNA, 146 nt
Filed under: Salmonella enterica subsp. enterica serovar Cerro
Lineage: Bacteria; Pseudomonadati; Pseudomonadota; Gammaproteobacteria; Enterobacterales; Enterobacteriaceae
Description: partial 23S ribosomal RNA
Rfam family: Bacterial large subunit ribosomal RNA
Source: RNAcentral